AUCCUUUUGUAGUUCAUGAGGAUGACGGUUGGGUGUUUCACACAUGCGUGUGAAAUGUACCACCCUCAAACCUUGUUACAAUGUCAGCACAUUUACCUGCCUGACC
RNAcentral lists this small nucleolar RNA (106 nucleotides) under Gorilla gorilla gorilla (western lowland gorilla). Its description in RNAcentral is "Small nucleolar RNA U13". It matches the Rfam family "Small nucleolar RNA U13". Lineage: Eukaryota; Metazoa; Chordata; Mammalia; Primates; Hominidae. The record is from Rfam by way of RNAcentral.